GGAGCUUGUAUCCUUGAUUCAGCGGCGGACGGGUGAGUAAGGCCUAGGAAUCUGCCUGGUAGUGGGGGACAACGUUUCCAAAGGAACGCUAAUACCGCAUACGUCCUACGGGAGAAAGCAGGGGACCUUCGGGCCUUGCGCUAUCAGAUGAGCCUAGGUCGGAUUAGCUAGUUGGUGGGGUAAUGGCUCACCAAGGCGACGAUCCGUAACUGGUCUGAGAGGAUGAUCAGUCACACUGGAACUGAGACACGGUCCAGACUCCUACGGGAGGCAGCAGUGGGGAAUAUUGGACAAUGGGCGAAAGCCUGAUCCAGCCAUGCCGCGUGUGUGAAGAAGGUCUUCGGAUUGUAAAGCACUUUAAGUUGGGAGGAAGGGCAGUAAGCUAAUACCUUGCUGUUUUGACGUUACCGACAGAAUAAGCACCGGCUAACUCUGUGCCAGCAGCCGCGGUAAUACAGAGGGUGCAAGCGUUAAUCGGAAUUACUGGGCGUAAAGCGCGCGUAGGUGGUUUGUUAAGUUGGAUGUGAAAGCCCCGGGCUCAACCUGGGAACUGCAUCCAAAACUGGCAAGCUAGAGUACGGUAGAGGGUGGUGGAAUUUCC
RNAcentral lists this ribosomal RNA (601 nucleotides) under Pseudomonas putida. Its description in RNAcentral is "bacterial SSU rRNA". It matches the Rfam family "Bacterial small subunit ribosomal RNA", at positions 75 to 671 of the family's 1533-position model. Lineage: Bacteria; Pseudomonadati; Pseudomonadota; Gammaproteobacteria; Pseudomonadales; Pseudomonadaceae. The record is from RNAcentral.